RNAcentral lists this ribosomal RNA (748 nucleotides) under Staphylococcus aureus. RNAcentral's name for it is "bacterial SSU rRNA". It matches the Rfam family "Bacterial small subunit ribosomal RNA", at positions 35 to 765 of the family's 1533-position model. The record is from RNAcentral. Lineage: Bacteria; Bacillati; Bacillota; Bacilli; Caryophanales; Staphylococcaceae.
GCUGGCGGCGUGCCUAAUACAUGCAAGUCGAGCGAACGGACGAGAAGCUUGCUUCUCUGAUGUUAGCGGCGGACGGGUGAGUAACACGUGGAUAACCUACCUAUAAGACUGGGAUAACUUCGGGAAACCGGAGCUAAUACCGGAUAAUAUUUUGAACCGCAUGGUUCAAAAGUGAAAGACGGUCUUGCUGUCACUUAUAGAUGGAUCCGCGCUGCAUUAGCUAGUUGGUAAGGUAACGGCUUACCAAGGCAACGAUGCAUAGCCGACCUAAGAGGGUGAUCGGCCACACUGGAACUUAGACACGGUCCAGACUCCUACGGGAGGCAGCAGUAGGGAAUCUUCCGCAAUGGGCGAAAGCCUGACGGAGCAACGCCGCGUGAGUGAUGAAGGUCUUCGGAUCGUAAAACUCUGUUAUUAGGGAAGAACAUAUGUGUAAGUAACUGUGCACAUCUUGACGGUACCUAAUCAGAAAGCCACGGCUAACUACGUGCCAGCAGCCGCGGUAAUACGUAGGUGGCAAGCGUUAUCCGGAAUUAUUGGGCGUUAAAGCGCGCGUAAGCGGGUUUUUUAAGUCCUGAUGUGAAAGCCCCACGGCUCAACCGUGGAGGGUCAUUGGAAACUGGAAAACUUGAGUGCAGAAGAGGAAAGUGGAAUUCCAUGUGUAGCGGUAAAUGCGCAGAGAUAGGAGGAACACCAGUGGCGAAGGCGACUUUCUGGUCUGUACUGACGCUGAUGUGGAAAGCGUGGG